GACGAACGCUGGCGGCGUGCCUAAUACAUGCAAGUAGAACGCUGAAGGAGGAGCUUGCUUCUCUGGAUGAGUUGCGAACGGGUGAGUAACGCGUAGGUAACCUGCCUGGUAGCGGGGGAUAACUAUUGGAAACGAUAGCUAAUACCGCAUAAUAGUAGAUGUUGCAUGACAUUUGCUUAAAAGGUGCAAUUGCAUCACUACCAGAUGGACCUGCGUUGUAUUAGCUAGUUGGUGAGGUAACGGCUCACCAAGGCAACGAUACAUAGCCAACCUGAGAGGGUGACCGCCAACCCGGGGACAGAGAAACGCCCCAAACCCCUAGGGAAGGAACAAGAAGGGAUUCUUCGAAAAGGGACGAAAGUCGUACCGAAAAACCCCGCGUGAGGAAAAAAGUUUUUCGGAUAGAAAACUUUUUUUAAAAGAAAAAAACGAGUGGGAGAUGGAAAAUUUCACCCUGUAACGGUAUUUAACAAAAAAGGGACGCCAAACUACGUC
RNAcentral lists this ribosomal RNA (495 nucleotides) under uncultured bacterium. RNAcentral describes it as "partial 16S ribosomal RNA". It matches the Rfam family "Bacterial small subunit ribosomal RNA", at positions 28 to 507 of the family's 1533-position model. The record is from RNAcentral.